This is a long non-coding RNA of Phyllostomus hastatus (greater spear-nosed bat), 548 nucleotides long. RefSeq lists it as uncharacterized. The transcript is spliced from 3 exons. Lineage: Eukaryota; Metazoa; Chordata; Mammalia; Chiroptera; Phyllostomidae. The record is from RefSeq and is a predicted model, not a curated record.
AGCGACGAGAGGGCUUUGCCUUCCGGAUUAGGCUUGGUUUAUUUGAAAAAUGUACGAUUUUAUUGCUAGUCUAGGCUGGGAGUUCUGGGGAAUGAACGGCUGGAGAAGGCUGGGAUGUACAUUGGCAUAGCCCACACUCACAGUUUUAAGUGGCUGGUCCGGUGGCCUGGAGGUGAUAUUACCUUGUUGUCUUAUAAAAGCAGUAGUUGAGCCUUCUGUGGAACCUGUGUCAUCAGGUGGUCCUUGCGGAAUCAGAGUCUUGGUUUUCUUGGAAGGCUAGGCGGCCAAGGACCCAUGGCCAUCUGCUGCUUGGCACCCGAGAGCCAGGUGGGUUGCCCGCAGCUCUACUGGAGCCACCCAAGGAAGUUCGGCCAGGGUUCUCGGUCUAGCCGCGUCUGCUCACACUGGCUGGAUCUGAUCUGGAAAUGCUGUCUCAAGGAGUGCUGCAGAUUUUUCCAUCUGUACACAAAGGAUAUAGGCUUCCUUAUCUUGGAUUUAGUGGACUUCUGUGAAUGCAUCCUAAGACAUUACCUUACCGCAGAAACAAC